GACGAGCGCUGGCGGCGUGCUUAACACAUGCAAGUCGAACGCUGAAGCUCAGCUUUUGUUGGGUGGAUGAGUGGCGAACGGGUGAGUAACACGUGAGUAACCUGCCCUCUUCUUUGGGAUAACGCCCGGAAACGGGUGCUAAUACUGGAUAUUCACUGAUCUUCGCAUGGGGGUUGGUGGAAAGGUUUGUUCUGGUGGGGGAUGGGCUCGCGGCCUAUCAGCUUGUUGGUGGGGUGAUGGCCUACCAAGGCUUUGACGGGUAGCCGGCCUGAGAGGGUGACCGGUCACAUUGGGACUGAGAUACGGCCCAGACUCCUACGGGAGGCAGCAGUGGGGAAUAUUGCACAAUGGGCGAAAGCCUGAUGCAGCGACGCCGCGUGAGGGAUGGAGGCCUUCGGGUUGUAAACCUCUUUCGCUCAUGGUCAAGCCGCGAUUUUGGUUGUGGUGAGGGUAGUGGGUAAAGAAGCGCCGGCUAACUACGUGCCAGCAGCCGCGGUAAUACGUAAGGCGCGAGCGUUGUCCGGAAUUAUUGGGCGUAAAGGGCUUGUAGGCGGCUGGUCGCGUCUGCCGUGAAAUUCUCUGGCUUAACUGGGGGCGUGCGGUGGGUACGGGCUGACUUGAGUGCGGUAGGGGAGACUGGAACUCCUGGUGUAGCGGUGGAAUGCGCAGAUAUCAGGAAGAACACCGGUGGCGAAGGCGGGUCUCUGGGCCGUUACUGACGCUGAGGAGCGAAAGCGUGGGGAGCGAACAGG
This 752-nucleotide ribosomal RNA is filed under the name uncultured Actinomyces sp. RNAcentral describes it as "bacterial SSU rRNA". It matches the Rfam family "Bacterial small subunit ribosomal RNA", at positions 28 to 776 of the family's 1533-position model. The record is from RNAcentral. Lineage: Bacteria; Bacillati; Actinomycetota; Actinomycetes; Actinomycetales; Actinomycetaceae.